GAGCUGUGCAACGUGCGGUGGGGAUCACGAGUAUGGGAAAUGAUCAGAGAUGGAAACUCAAGUCGUGAUUAAAGAAAAGAAAAUGACUUGCGACUUGAUUUAGACUUGUGAUCAAUUGACUUGUGACUUGACUUGGACUCUAGAUGAAAGACUUGUGAACAAUGCAAGUCAGUACUGGGAUAAGUUUUAGUUGUGCAUUCUGUCAGAUAACAUGGAACAGGCGGCGUUGUGACACGGAGAAAGUAGUUUAAUACAGAGGGCUGAAAAGCGUUUCUAGAACAUCUGCGUCAUUUGUACGUGACUGUAGUACUACAGCUGAACAAUCGUAAUCAGGAACGAUGUCAUCAGGUGGUGAAGCUUUUGUUAUUACAUUUGGUUACAAGAACCUGCAGUAUAAUGCCAGUGGCAAAAAAAUGAAAUGCGUUUUGCAAAACUUGUGGAAUUAACAUUAAAGAUGCUGGCGCAACUACAGUACAUCUAACUUCAUCCGACAUGUGAAAACUCACCGCGAAAGGUUCACUGAAUUCUGAAAAGCAAAAGGUGACCAGCACAGGGACAGAAGGACAGAGCAGCGUGUAUAGCCAGGGCCACCCCAGGCAGAAGGCUAUAACAGAGGCUAUACUGCAAGACCUGAUCAUUUCCUGCAACCUGCCUAUGUCCUUAGUGGACAACCCUCACUUUAGGCAUUUCAUGGCAGUGGUAGGUGACAAAUAUUGACCAGUAAGUAGGCCCAUGUUGACCAGGUGCCUGCAUGACUUAACACUGAACAAAAAGGCUACAAUCAAAAGUGCCCUAGAACAGACAGAAUCAGUGUCUGUCACUGUAGAUAUAUGGACUGACAGGACCAUGAGGGGCUUCAUGGGAGUAAUGGCCCAUUACAUGGCCAUGGAAGAGGGGAAAAAAAACACCCAGACUGGAGUCAGUUCUGUUGAGCUGUGAUAGACUCACAUGGUCACACACUGGGGAAAGAACAUUUGACAUUUAAUAUGUGAUAACUCUGAAAAUAUGAAAAAGGCCUUCAUAGUUUGUUUCCCCAAAGCAAUCGAUGAUGAUGAUGUGGAUAACCCCAGCAUAUGGGAAGAAUUUGGUGAAGAGUACAAUGUUGAUGUAGAAGCUAUCCAAACCAACUGCAGGUAACAGCACUCACAGUGCUUUGCCCAUUCAUUACAACUGGUGAUUAGAGAUGGACUAAAGGAAACAAAAAUCAUAAACAGUGUGAUGUUUAAGGUAACUAAACUUUGCAGCUUACUACACACUACCUGUUCUCUGACGGAAGCAUUUGAAGCCGAGUUCAGAGCCAAUCGUAGUAUCCCUGCUGCAGUGUCUACCAGAUGGAAUUCCAUCCUCCGGCUUGUUAAAGCAGCCACCAAUCUGAAUCAACAAAGCGUCAAUACGCUACUUGAGGCCCAAGGACACAAGGAACUCUGCUUAUCACAUGGAGUCAGCUAUUGGAGCUAGUGGACAUUUUGGACCCUUUUGUCCAGGCCACCGACCUUACUCAGGGAGUUCUCUCAGUGCUGCCCUUCCUUGUGUACUGUCAACUAUCAUCUGCAAAGUAUACUGUGCACAAGUCAUCACCUAUUCAGUCUAGUAAAAGCACUGCAGCAGUCACUCAAAUGCCAAUUCCAGGGGGUGUUUGUGAAUGUCAGAAUGGAGCACUCGGAUGAACAGGCAACAAAACUUACUUUGGUGACAAUGUAUACAUAAUGGCUGCACUGCACUGGACCCAUCUUUCUGCCUGUUCUGGCUUGAUCAUGAUGUCCUCAUACCACAUGAAGAUCAAGCUGAAUUGAAGGAGAGUGAUUGACCUAGCCAGAAGGCUGAGGCAUGGAAAGUCACCAUUAUGGAGAGCAGUGGUGGAGAAGAGGAACAACCACCUGUCAAAACCUCCAGACUGUUCUCUGGCCUCCUCAACAAGAUCAGCAUGAAGAAAGGAGACAAAGUCACCUGUCAAAGUAGAGAUUAUUAGCUACAUUGAAGUAUCUUCUGAUGAAAAGUAAGUUGAUUGCUUGGAUUUUUGGAAAAUCCAUGCAAAAGACUUUCCAAAACUCAAUCAGGUAGCAAUGACAGUGUUGGCUGUGCCUGCCACCGGUGCCCCAGUGGAGAGUGUUUAGUCAUGGAGGCCUCCUCAUACGCCCUCAUCGUGCCAGACUCACUGCAAGAACGCUGACAAACUUGAUCUUUCUGAAAUGUAACCUGUCUGCAAUGUAAAUAUUCUCUCUCUUAGGGCACAGGAUGUAAUUUGCUACUUGUUACAGGAAAUUGUAUUUAUGUUAAGUGUCCAGGUUAGUAAGUAUAUUUUAGGGAUAAAGGUCAUUGUUUGAUAUAUAGGACACUUUAGUAGUGCAGUUAUUGAACAGUUGUCAGUCAUUUUGGUUUACAUUCAUGCUUGUCAUUUAUCUUCCCUCACCUACAGAUUCUGUUUGUGUGACACAAAAUACCAUGCACUUUAAAAUGUUCUGUUUGCUUUUUUAAAUAUCCGGUACAAUUACUUUUAUUAAAU
Oncorhynchus gorbuscha (pink salmon) is the source of this 2503-nucleotide long non-coding RNA. RefSeq lists it as uncharacterized. The record is from RefSeq and is a predicted model, not a curated record. NCBI's taxonomy places the organism in Eukaryota, Metazoa, Chordata, Actinopteri, Salmoniformes, Salmonidae. The transcript is spliced from 3 exons.